This is a long non-coding RNA of Columba livia (rock pigeon), 217 nucleotides long. RefSeq lists it as uncharacterized. NCBI's taxonomy places the organism in Eukaryota, Metazoa, Chordata, Aves, Columbiformes, Columbidae. The transcript is spliced from 2 exons. The record is from RefSeq and is a predicted model, not a curated record.
UGCACAGGUCCAUCUGCUGGUUCCGCUCCCGCUUUCUCCACUUGGCUCGGCGGUUCUUGAACCAGACCUGAGGAGGGACGGGACGGACACACCGACACGGCACGCCCCCCCAUGAUGGAAACCGGGCAGCCCCCAAAAUUCUCUUUCCAGGUUAAAAACCAGCAUCGUCCUGCCUGUCGGCUGCGCCCGGCCUGCGCGAUUUUCCUGCUGCAUCCCC